This 1489-nucleotide ribosomal RNA is filed under the name uncultured beta proteobacterium. RNAcentral's name for it is "16S ribosomal RNA". It matches the Rfam family "Bacterial small subunit ribosomal RNA". Lineage: Bacteria; Pseudomonadati; Pseudomonadota; Betaproteobacteria. The record is from RNAcentral.
GAGUUUGAUCCUGGCUCAGAUUGAACGCUGGCGGCAUGCCUUACACAUGCAAGUCGAACGGCAGCACGGGUGCUUGCACCUGGUGGCGAGUGGCGAACGGGUGAGUAAUACAUCGGAACAUGUCCUGUAGUGGGGGAUAGCCCGGCGAAAGCCGGAUCAAUACCGCAUACGAUCUACGGAUGAAAGCGGGGGACCUUCGGGCCUCGCGCUAUAGGGUUGGCCGAUGGCUGAUUAGCUAGUUGGUGGGGUAAAGGCCUACCAAGGCGACGAUCAGUAGCUGGUCUGAGAGGACGACCAGCCACACUGGGACUGAGACACGGCCCAGACUCCUACGGGAGGCAGCAGUGGGGAAUUUUGGACAAUGGGCGAAAGCCUGAUCCAGCAAUGCCGCGUGUGUGAAGAAGGCCUUCGGGUUGUAAAGCACUUUUGUCCGGAAAGAAAUCCUUGGCUCUAAUACAGUCGGGGGAUGACGGUACCGGAAGAAUAAGCACCGGCUAACUACGUGCCAGCAGCCGCGGUAAUACGUAGGGUGCGAGCGUUAAUCGGAAUUACUGGGCGUAAAGCGUGCGCAGGCGGUUUGCUAAGACCGAUGUGAAAUCCCCGGGCUCAACCCUGGAACUGCAUUGGUGACUGGCANGCUAGAGUAUGGCAGAAGGGGGUAGAAUUCCACGUGUAGCAGUGAAAUGCGUAGAGAUGUGGAGGAAUACCGAUGGCGAAAGCACCCCCCUGGGCCAAUAUUGCCGGUUCAUCCAGGAAAGCGGGGGAGGCAAACAGGAUUGAAUACCUUGUAGUCCCCGCCCUAAACGAUGUCAAUUAGUGGUUGGGGAUCCAUUUCCUAAGUAAGUAAGUUAACGCGUGAAGUUGCCCGCUUGGGGAGUACGUUCGCAAGAUUAAAAUUAAAGGAAUUGACGGGGANCCGCACAAGCGGUGGAUGAUGUGGAUUAUUUCGAUGCAACGCGAAAAACCUUACUACCCCUGNACAUGUUCGGAAUCCCGCUGAGAGGUGGGAGUGCUCGAAAGAGAACCGGCGCACAGGUGCUGCAUGGCUGUCGUCAGCUCGUGUCGUGAGAUGUUGGGUUAAGUCCCGCAACGAGCGCAACCCUUGUCCUUAGUUGCUACGCAAGAGCACUCUAAGGAGACUGCCGGUGACAAACCGGAGGAAGGUGGGGAUGACGUCAAGUCCUCAUGGCCCCUAUGGGUAGGGCUUCACACGUCAUACAAUGGUCGGAACAGAGGGUUGCCAACCCGCGAGGGGGAGCUAAUCCCAGAAAACCGAUCGUAGUCCGGAUUGCACUCUGCAACUCGAGUGCAUGAAGCUGGAAUCGCUAGUAAUCGCGGAUCAGCAUGCCGCGGUGAAUACGUUCCCGGGUCUUGUACACACCGCCCGUCACACCAUGGGAGUGGGUUUUACCAGAAGUGGCUAGUCUAACCGCAAGGAGGACGGUCACCACGGUAGGAUUCAUGACUGGGGUGAAGUCGUAACAAGGUA